GACGAACGCUGGCGGCGUGCUUAACACAUGCAAGUCGAACGGAAAGGCCCUGCUUUUGUGGGGUGCUCGAGUGGCGAACGGGUGAGUAACACGUGAGUAACCUGCCCUUGACUUUGGGAUAACUUCAGGAAACUGGGGCUAAUACCGGAUAGGAGCUCCUGCUGCAUGGUGGGGGUUGGAAAGUUUCGGCGGUUGGGGAUGGACUCGCGGCUUAUCAGCUUGUUGGUGGGGUAGUGGCUUACCAAGGCUUUGACGGGUAGCCGGCCUGAGAGGGUGACCGGCCACAUUGGGACUGAGAUACGGCCCAGACUCCUACGGGAGGCAGCAGUGGGGAAUAUUGCACAAUGGGCGGAAGCCUGAUGCAGCAACGCCGCGUGCGGGAUGACGGCCUUCGGGUUGUAAACCGCUUUCGCCUGUGACGAAGCGUGAGUGACGGUAAUGGGUAAAGAAGCACCGGCUAACUACGUGCCAGCAGCCGCGGUGAUACGUAGGGUGCGAGCGUUGUCCGGAUUUAUUGGGCGUAAAGGGCUCGUAGGUGGUUGAUCGCGUCGGAAGUGUAAUCUUGGGGCUUAACCCUGAGCGUGCUUUCGAUACGGGUUGACUUGAGGAAGUUAGGGGAGAAUGGAAUUCCUGGUGGAGCGGUGGAAUGCGCAGAUAUCAGGAGGAACACCAGUGGCGAAGGCGGUUCUCUGGGCCUUUCCUGACGCUGAGGAGCGAAAGCGUGGGGAGCGAACAGGCUUAGAUACCCUGGUAGUCCACGCUGUAAACGGUGGGUACUAGGUGUGGGGUCCAUUCCACGGGUUCCGUGCCGUAGCUAACGCUUUAAGUACCCCGCCUGGGGAGUACGGCCGCAAGGCUAAAACUCAAAGGAAUUGACGGGGCCCCACACAAGCGGCGGAGCAUGCGGAUUAAUUCGAUGCAACGCGUAGAACCUUACCUGGGUUUGACAUGGAUCGGGAGCGCUCAGAGAUGGGUGUGCCUCUUUUGGGGUCGGUUCACAGGUGGUGCAUGGCUGUCGUCAGCUCGUGUCGUGAGAUGUUGGGUUAAGUCCCGCAACGAGCGCAACCCUUGUUCACUGUUGCCAGCACGUUAUGGUGGGGACUCAGUGGAGACCGCCGGGGUCAACUCGGAGGAAGGUGGGGAUGACGUCAAGUCAUCAUGCCCCUUAUGUCCAGGGCUUCACGCAUGCUACAAUGGCUGGUACAGAGAGUGGCGAGCCUGUGAGGGUGAGCGAAUCUCGGAAAGCCGGUCUCAGUUCGGAUUGGGGUCUGCAACUCGACCUCAUGAAGUCGGAGUCGCUAGUAAUCGCAGAUCAGCAACGCUGCGGUGAAUACGUUCCCGGG
This 1343-nucleotide ribosomal RNA is filed under the name uncultured bacterium. RNAcentral's name for it is "16S ribosomal RNA". It matches the Rfam family "Bacterial small subunit ribosomal RNA", at positions 28 to 1378 of the family's 1533-position model. The record is from RNAcentral.